AGUGAACGCUGGCGGUGGGCCUAACACAUGCAAGUCGAACGGCAGCACAGUAAGAGCUUGCUCUUACGGGUGGCGAGUGGCGGACGGGUGAGGAAUACAUCGGAAUCUACUUUUUCGUGGGGGAUAACGUAGGGAAACUUACGCUAAUACCGCAUACUACCUACGGGUGAGAGCAGGGGAGCUUCGGGCCUUGCGCGAUUGAAUGAGCCGAUGUCGGGUUAGCUAGUUGGCGGGGUAAGGGACCACCAAGGCGACGAUCCGUAGCUGGUCUGAGAGGAUGAUCCGCCACACUGGAACUGAGACACGGUCCAGACUCCUACGGGAGGCAGGAGUGGGGAAUAUUGGAAAAUGGGCGAAAGCCUGGUCCAGCCAUACCGCGUGGGUGAAGAAGGCCUUCGGGUUGUAAAGCCCUUUUGUUGGGAAAGAAAAGCAGCAGGUUAAUACCCCGCUGUUCUGACGGUACCCAAAGAAUAAGCACCGGCUAACUUCGU
RNAcentral lists this ribosomal RNA (491 nucleotides) under uncultured bacterium. RNAcentral's name for it is "partial 16S ribosomal RNA". It matches the Rfam family "Bacterial small subunit ribosomal RNA", at positions 29 to 506 of the family's 1533-position model. The record is from RNAcentral.